Rosa chinensis is the source of this 1354-nucleotide long non-coding RNA. RefSeq lists it as uncharacterized. The transcript has 4 exons. The record is from RefSeq and is a predicted model, not a curated record. Lineage: Eukaryota; Viridiplantae; Streptophyta; Magnoliopsida; Rosales; Rosaceae.
UUAUUUUAUUUUUGUAAAUAAUACUUUUCUUUAUUUGUUUCACAAUUACAAGUGUACCCUCAAUCCCCGGAAUAGAACGAUCCCUAUUUGCUUAUACUACUAACGAUAUUUCAGGGUUAAAUUAUGCUCUUGCUUUGAGCGACAUCAAGUAGUUUAGAGAGAAGCACAGAAACAUUGCCUCAACAAAUCAGUCUCUGCUGUUCUUUGCAUUAUAAUCUCGUUGUUCGAUAUGUGUCAUUUGUCUUCCUCUUAUCAGAAGCUCUAUCUAUUGGUUUUGAUUCCAAGCCAUAAACCAAUUCACCUACAGCUUUAAAGACCAAAGGCCAGACAUGCAUUAACGUAUAGAUUUGUCAGAAAAGGACAAAGAUAGUUGUUUCAUCCAAAGGCCAAAGGCCAAAGAAAUAUCAGAUUACGAGUGGCUUUCCAGUUCUGAAGAACAAAACAAUAUUGGGUUUCCCAAAUCUUCAGUCAUAGGUAUGUGUUGCUUUGUUUUGUGUAAGAACAGCUUUUUUUGGUAACCAUAUGAGCAUGAAGGCUGUUAUAUUCCUUUUUAAUGGUUUUGAAGGAGUUUUUAGCUGUUUUAUAACUACUUAUGAGGUAUAAAAUUGAAGCUUUCAUAUCUAAAUACCUAAACCCUAAACAAGAAUUCAAUUGUUGUAAUGUUUAAUCAACCUAAUUAGAUAUACUCAUUAUCUCCCUUGUUUCUACCUGAAAUGCCUAUUUGAAGAUCUGUUCUGUUUUUCUAGCUAUUGACAAAUCUAUAUGGUAUUGUCCAGGAUAGAUUGCCUGAAACUCUCGAUGCAUUAACCAAAAAAAAACUAUGCAUUAACCAAAAAAAAACUAUAAACACAGUCCUUCAUUUUCUUUAACGGAAACUUUCAUUACAGCAACUCUUAGAACCCAAAGACGGAGACUUUCUUUCAUUACAGCAAAAACCCAUAACCGAAAUCAUAGUAUUGAUCGAACCCAGUUGAGAUUUGUAUGAGAAAACCAAAACCCAUGUUGCAAAAUGUGCCAAAAGGAACAUAAAUAGGGUCUCAAAGAUUCAGAAACGCGUAGAGAAAAGAAGAAGAAGAAAAAAACUGACCUUUAUUGGGUAUUGUGAGAUUCUUCUUUGCUUUCAGAGAUCGUGCAAGCAACUGCAUCUAGUUUUGUUUGCUUUGCUUUGCUUUCAGGUCCGGUUCUGGCGUUGUCUAGCAGAAAGCUUUCUGGGUUAUCUCUGGCGUCUGUUACAGGAAAAAGACUGUUCAUAUUACCAAAUCCAGAAAUUGAAGCAAACCCAGAUCACCAUUUACACAGAUACAAAGACUGCAAGGAAUCAAAGAAAACCCAAAGCAAAAGACAGAUCCAUGCA